Molecule: transfer RNA, 74 nt
Filed under: Stegodyphus mimosarum
Lineage: Eukaryota; Metazoa; Arthropoda; Arachnida; Araneae; Eresidae
Rfam family: tRNA
About the family: Transfer RNA (tRNA) molecules are approximately 80 nucleotides in length.
Source: Rfam by way of RNAcentral
GCCUUCUUGGUGUAAUGGUCAAGCACGCUCGGCUUGUAUUCCAGAGGUCCGUGAUUCGAGUCCCGGCGAAGGCG